Saccostrea echinata is the source of this 640-nucleotide long non-coding RNA. RefSeq lists it as uncharacterized. NCBI's taxonomy places the organism in Eukaryota, Metazoa, Mollusca, Bivalvia, Ostreida, Ostreidae. The transcript is spliced from 2 exons. The record is from RefSeq and is a predicted model, not a curated record.
UAAAAUAUUUAUUAUUUUCAUUAGGGUUUGGAGAAGUUUGGUAUUGUCAAAAUAUUACAAACAAAAAUAUAUUUUUAAAAAUUUUUAAACAAAGAUUAAUGACUGUUUCCAACAAAAAUGUGAGGCUUUUUUUCCUUCGUCAUCAAAGUGUUCUGUGUAUAGAUAUUUAACAAAUAAGCUGUGCAUGCAAUCCUACUUAAUGAAACCUAUUCCAACCAAGUAUAUUCAAUUGAUUACAAAAUAUAGACUAAGUGCACAUUUAUUAAUGAUUGAGAAGGGAAGAUUUACUAAUAUUCCUAGGGAGAAUAGAUUAUGUUUUUGUUGUCAAAUGGAGGUUGAAGAUGAGUACCAUUUUAUAUUAAAAUGCUCACUUUAUCAUGAGUACAGGAAAUUGUAUAUUAAAAAGUAUUAUUGCAGAAGCACUUAGAGAUUUAAAUCUUUAAACUAAGGAUUUUUCUUUUUAAUGUUUGGUUGGAAAUAUUGUAUACAAACAAUCGUAUGUUAAAACAAGUAUAUGUAGAUAUUUUAUAUAUGUAUAUUUCUUCCGUGCUAUACAUCCUGUAUUUGUAAUGUUGUAUUCUGAUUAUGUAAUCUGAUAAGCCAUAUGGCUUAAGGAAUAAAUAAACAAACAAACAAACAG